This 348-nucleotide long non-coding RNA is filed under the name Monodelphis domestica (gray short-tailed opossum). Its description in RNAcentral is "lncRNA (ENSMODG00000050884.1)". Lineage: Eukaryota; Metazoa; Chordata; Mammalia; Didelphimorphia; Didelphidae. The record is from RNAcentral.
ACCUGUCUCUUUACUGGUUUAUCUUCUGAUUUAGGAGGCUUAAUUUUCCAUGGCUCCUAGAGCCAGGCUGAUUGCAUUAGGGGCUGGAGCCCCUGGCAUGAUCUGUCUGAGUCUGCAGGGUCCCUUUCCCCAAUCAAGCAUGUGACAUUCCUUUAGCCUUAGUUUGGAUGGGGAUGUGAGAAAGGAUGGGGAGAAAAGGACCUGAGAUCUCUGCUGGAGGCUAAUGGGAUUGCAGGUCCUGUACCCUGUGGGAAUGGGAAUUGACCCUACUCAGAUCUGCUUCACUGAAAAGUCUAUGCCAAGCUGUAAUAUGGAAGCAGUAGAGAUACUCCUCAGCUCACCUCCGGG